The sequence is a transfer RNA, 102 nucleotides long. It matches the Rfam family "tRNA". From Rfam's summary of the family: Transfer RNA (tRNA) molecules are approximately 80 nucleotides in length. Their secondary structure includes four short double-helical elements and three loops (D, anti-codon, and T loops). The record is from Rfam.
GGCUUGGUGGUGUAGUGGUUAUCACGUUUCGUUUACACUUUGUAAACCGUCACUUCGUAAGGAGGUCCGAAAAGGCCGCGAGUUCGAUCCUCGCCCGAGUCA